This is a non-coding RNA of Doryrhamphus excisus (bluestripe pipefish), 7617 nucleotides long. The record is from RefSeq and is a predicted model, not a curated record. Lineage: Eukaryota; Metazoa; Chordata; Actinopteri; Syngnathiformes; Syngnathidae.
GGCGGAGUCAUAGCAAAGAUGGCGGUGUGUCAGGGACGAUCUUUGGGCCAAACAUCGUUCAGGAUGUUGAAAUGUCACUAACAAGAUGCACUGCCGCCCAGAACACGAAGUGUUAGGCGUUUUUAAUUCCACAGUGUCGUGGCCAGACGGGUGUCAGUCGGCCGUGUGCAGCGCUGAUAUUGAUUGUCGAAGUCGUUAGCGGAGAGCCGUUAGCAGUUAGCUAACCUGCAAGCUAGCAGCUAAAUCAGCAAGUCAAGACUCUUGACACCAAAACAAGCUAAGAGUAAGAGUCCAGGUCAGCUAUGGAGUGGUCUUGGCUUCAGACCGGAUGACAGGGUCACCUCGGAGGACUGGGUUGUAGCACUUCCUGAACAAGAACACUGACUGACAACCACAACGACAGCCCCUCCCCACUUCUCAUCCGCAUCAUCCUCCUCUCUAAGAGAGACGCAGCUCCUCUUGUUGUUUCUUGCAACCUGUAACCUGCCUCCGCCACUGUGUCUGAUAUGAGCUGGCUGAGCAGGUUGAACCCGCGGGCUCCCAGCAGUCGGCCGGGUUGGGGCACCGCCCCGUCGGCCCCCUGCACAGCCGACCCAGAGACAUGUCUGAUGGUGUUCGAGAACCACUGGAGACAGGUGUCACGUGUGCUGGAGCAGACCGAGUCAUCAUCGUCCACUGAUGACUUGAUUGCAGUCAGGAACCACACAGACCAGAUGCUUUGUCUGCUGGCUGAGGAGCGGCCUUGCGAGGUGUCGGAGGGCACCGCCAACAAGCGAGUCGCGGGCCCCAUACUGAACUUGGUGGUCAGCCAGGACAUUUUAGAGUGUGUGGUCAGGUGGCAUUUUCGCCGUGGCCUGGACCCAGACAGCCAGGGGGCACUGCUUAAGCUGUUUGAGAUGCUCAUAGGCCAAUCCAAGCAGCCUUUGCUGCAGCAUGCGGCCAUCUUGCACCCCCUGCUCAGGCUGCUGGGAGCCUGCGCCGACCCAGAACUUGGUUGUCCUGCUGCUUUGGAAAACAGUCUGGUUCUGCUGCUCAAUCAGAUCUGCGUGUCCAUGGCCCGGCAGCCUGUGCUUCUGGAGAUGUUGUUCCAGGUGACACCUAUCCAGCAAGGAUCCACCAACCUGCUGAUCUUCUCGCUCCUCGUGCCCUUCAUCCACCGCGAUGGCGCCAUCGGACAACAGGCCAGAGACGCACUGUUGCUGGUCAUGGCCACUUCAGCCAGCAAUGACAAUGUGGCUCGUUACAUCGCAGAGAACUCCUACUUCUGCCCGGUGCUGGCAACCGGCUUGAGCGCCCUUUACUCGUCGCUUCCCCGAAAGAUUGAGGUGCGAGGGGACGACUGGCAUGCCCUGCGGCGUGAGGACUGGAUGAGUGUCUCCUCCCUCGUUCUCUUUAUGAAUUCGCUGGAGUUCUGCAAUGCCGUGGUGCAGGUCGCUCAUCACCUAGUGCGGUCCCAGCUCCUGGACUACCUACACAACGGCUUCCUGGUUCCUGUCAUGGGCCCUGCCCUGCACAAGUCAUCAGUGGACGAGAUGAUAGCCAGCACCGCCUACUUGGACCUUUUCCUGCGCAGUGUGAGCGAGACGGCCCUCCUCAAAACCUUCCUGCGAUUCAUCCUGCUGCAUCGCCUGGACAACGACUCCAUCCUUGACACAUUGCUCACGCGCAUCAGCAGCAAUUCAAGGCUCUGCAUGGUGUCUCUGAGCCUCUUCAGAACUCUUCUGGCUUUCAACUGCGAAGACAUCAUGCUGCAGCUCGUCCUCAGGUACCUGCUCCCCUGCGGCCAUGUCAUGCUGAGUCAGCGACGUGCUAUCAGGGAGACUGACAUGUAUGGGAAGUGCGCGGACAAGUUCCUGUCACUGAUCCCAGAAUGCUGCCGUCUGAGCACUGCACUCUCUACUGAACGGGAUGAAGACGCUGCAUUUCGAGGCAAAGUGCUCAACAAUGCAGGGCCGGAGUCACCAGCCACACCCAGACCUGUUACGCCAUCGCGCUUGGCUUUCUUCAUCCGUCAACAAAGUAGUGGAGGCGGGUCAGGAGGCGGUCCCCCCACCUCCCCCAGCAGUGAGCCGCCACAGCCUGGUACUCCCAUCUCUUAUGCCCCGGACUGCCCGGUCUACCCCCAGCAGCACGAGAGUCUGGAGUGGGAAUCAGGUUACCUGGACUAUCUGAAAGAUGCCCGAAGAGGCAUUGAACUUUGCUCUUGGGCUUGUCGGGCAUGGUCUGCGCCAUACGAUGGUGAAAACCCUUGCCCGAGCACAGCACCUCCACCCCCGCCCCCUCCCACCUCCAACCCCUCCAUGGCCAUGUUCCCUGAGCACUUCUCUUUCCAGCCAGGAGGAGGCAGCAAUACACCACAGGGCCAGCAGAGGGAAGCCAUGGUGGCUGCGGCCAGGUCCGAGUGGAGCAGCUCAGAGCGGGACAGCGGCGAGUGGGACGUUACCAUUGGUCAAAACAACUGCAUCAGCCUCACGCCGCGUUCCAAGAAGCGCAGUCUACAGCGAGAAGAGCUCCUCCCAAAACCUGUCCCCCCUCUCGUGUCGUCCUCUUCACCUGUCCCUUUAGCCGGUUCUCAACCUGCCCCCACACCAGCCCCUCACAAUCCUACAGCCGCCACCGUAGGUUACCUUGCCAUCUACAAUGGGACGGCGGGGAUGGGGGAAGGGUGUUUGAGCCAUGAGGUGAAGAAGGUGAAGAGAGACUUGGGCGAUGAGCAGGUUUUGGAUGAGAACGCAAAUCAAAAUGGUUCUGUCAUCACAUGCCCCUCCCAGGGCUGCCCUGUUCAGCAGUCCUUAUUUGACAACAGUGACGCCACCUGUGGUGCCAAAUCUGCCUCCACCCCACAUCUGUCAGACACAGAUGACGCCUCCAACCUGCACCGGACACACUCAUCCGAGAGUGGGCCCACAGUGCAGAGUCUCAUCGAGGAACUUCUCGAACAGUCUCCCGAAGAGACGCACGCUCUUGGGGGAUCUAACGGUGAAGGCAUCAACAUCGAGGCUUUCUCACAGGAGCUGAGAGAGAUGGAGCACUGUGUGACCGUUUGCAGUGCCGCAGCCUGCCAGCAGGGGGAGACCAACCCCACGUCCCUUAGUGAUGAGCAACAAGAGGAAGAGCUGGAAGCAAAAAUGGCAGCUGAUGAAACCGGUGCUGCUGUAACUGCCCUCUGCAGUCCAGCCAGACCACUCAAUGGGGCGUCAUGUCAGCCAUACACGGGGCCGUUCAUGGUGGUUCUGCUCACCAAGCUGGAGAACAUGCUCCAGAACUCCCUGUAUGUCAACAUCCUGCUGACAGGCAUGGUGGCCCAGCUGGCAUGCUACCCGCAACCACUCCUACGCUCCUUCCUGCUCAACACCAACAUGGUUUUCCAGCCCAGUGUCAAGUCUCUCAUCCAGGUUUUGGGUUCUGUGAAGAAUCGCAUCGAGGCCUUUGCUGCCUCCCAUGAGGACUUCCCUUCCAUGUUGAGGAAAGCCCAACUGUACCUGGUGGCCCGUGGGAAAGUGGACUGGAGCGAGCCCCCUGGUGCCGUUCCUGUCCUGCGGCGCUCCGAUUCACUUGUUAAGAGUCGAAAAUCAUCUCUUAGUGACCUAAUCCUUCGGCACACCAAUAGCCCCACCCGAACUCGAAGUGCUGCCCAGAUGGCGCUGGCGCACGUACGGGUUGGGGGCCAAACGCUGCACAGUGCUCUGUUCCGUGGUAGCGGCGGUGGAGGAGGAGGCGGCGGCGGAGCCUCCAAUCUGGAGAAGCAAGCUGAGGCGCUGCGUGUGAAGAACGCAGUCUACUGCGCUGUCGUCUUCUGCGAGUUCCUCAAGGAGCUGGCCGCUCUUGCUCAAGAGCAUGCCGUUGCACUCCCCUUUGUUGGUACAGAUGCUGAGGAAUAAGCACUGCCUACUCGCCAUCUUUCCACAUCGGCCACUGGAUUGUCAACAGAGUCAUUAACCAUGGCCACGCUCUCAUACCAAAAGGGAUGUCUAAAAGACAUUGUGCAUAUCAUGUGUUAUAUUAUUUACACUAUCAGUCAAACUUCUGUGUUUGUCUGCCUACAAAGUAAUAGCGCACUCAGUUGGUGCUAGUAAAGGUCUUUUCAAAGGAAAUUGGAUUUAACUGUAAUGUGUCCGAAACAUAUCUUUAACCUUUUUUUUUAAAGAUUUCCUGUGUUCCAUAGAUCUGUAAGUCUUUUAGCUCUGACAUUGCAUUCACUGUCAUUUUCUGCCCAGUUUACAAUGCUCUGCAUUGCCAGUUACGACCAGUUAGAGGUUGGAUCAUCGUCUUGGGUUUGUCUGGUGCCAUAGCUUCCUUGUUCUAGCAGUUCGGUGCUGACUACUAGCAACUCACUUUAAAAACUUGCCCACAGCGAACCCGAUGAUGACCCUCCUGCUGAGAGAAAAAGUCUACACAGCUAGUUCAGGUUCGGGGGGGGGGAAUAAAAGGGAAAAGAGAGACUUUAUAUCUUAGAACACAAUGUUUGUUACGGGCAUUUUAACCUCCCAAGAUGAUGUCUUCCUGGAGUCACACCAUUUCAUAUUAGUGAAUCAGGGAGAUCCACAUGCCACAUUUAUUAAUAUUAGAACUGUACGUGGUAGGAAAGAUUCUAUGGACCGAUUUUAGUUCCUCUGGCAGCCACUUUAUGGUGUUAGUACCGUAAAGCUGUGACAUAAAGGGAUAGUUCAGAUUUUUUUACAUGAUUUUUUGUAUGACAUGCACAUCAGCGAUGACUUACACCCCACUGUGUCCUUUGUAUGGAUUUCGAUACGAACAUAGUUCCGGUUAGAUGGUGGGGCUCAGGGCGAUUGAGGUCUGAUUAAUUUUUUUAAUCUUGUGAUGCAAAUGUAUUUGUCUUUUCAACGCAUAUUGUUUUGGGAUACCAAACUCUUUUCUUAAGUGGACCCACCAACCAAUCAGAACUAUGUUUGUCAUCCCCAAAAUCCGACCAGAACUCAAGAACAAAAUGGGGGAUAAGUCACCGUUGAUGCACUACACUGCUGAUGGGAAUGUCAUACAAGAAAUUGGACCUAUCCCUUUAAAGCAGGGAUGUCCAAAGUGUGACCUGGGGGCAGUCAGCAGCACUUAGCUUGUUUGGUAAUUGGCCCACGGCACAUUCUAGCAAGAAACCUAAAAAAGAAGGACAUGUAGGGCAUACUCAAUCGUCACCUAUACUAGUACAAAGCAUGCAGGCUUUUUUUUUCCUGAAAACAUAUACUCACAAAACAUUAGCAGUAUUUAGCUUCCGGGUGAAAUACACUGUAACCUUUUACAGGUGAACUUUUAAAUGCAUCUCCAUUGGUUCAAUGUUUCAGUACUUUUUGCACAACUGUAAUUCUAAUUCAACCAGUGCAUUUAUUUACAGAUCGGAAGUUUUGCAAAAAGUACUGAAACUUUGAACAGUUGGAUGUGUAUUUAAACAUUUAUAUUCUCAAAUGAAGAUCACCUCUAAAUGUUCUGGUUUAUUUUAAAAUCAUCCUGAAUUUUCACCUGUAAGCCAGAUCCCUAACUUUUAUUGAGCAGUGUAUAACAUCUUUGCAUGUCUCCAGAUUUGUUUUUGGGUUUUUUUGCCCCCAGUUACUUUAAUUUUUCUUUGUGCGGCCCUCGGUGGAAAAAGUUUUGACACCUGAUUUCAAGGGAAAAAAAUACAGUGAUGCCAAACAAACAUGUCUCACUACUUAUUUGCCAAGUAUAGAUAUUAUUUGCUGAGCUAUUGUUUUUUCUUGUAAAACUGUUAUUGUACCAUGUUUGAGUUUUCACAACACAAGACGUGCACAUUUUUUUGUUGUUUUUGUUUACCUGUGAAACUCGAACUAUGCAAAACCUGCCGGCAUUGCCCCCUACUGGAGGUGAAGCACAAAAACUGAUGUAAAAUGUAAAUACUGUUUAAAAAAAAAAAGAGUGUAGUGGCUACACAGUGCAGAUGUAUGUAGAAGGCAACGGCAUCAGGACUCAAAACAUUCUGACGGAAUGUUACGGAUAUUUUUCUAUAAUCACAUUGUGUGUGUGUUGGCGGGGCUGGGGAAAUGCAGGAAAAAAAACUGUCACAAGAACACUAAAGGGAAUGUUUUUAUUAAUUUAUAAAGUCACUGUCAGCAGCACAGCCUUUGUUCUGGUGUCUCUUGUGUGUGACUGUAAAGUGAGACUGUCAGCUGCAGGUUCAAAAUGCAAGACUUGACUUCUUUUUUUAAGAUCUGCUUAGGUUGUAAACCCAGUCAGGAGAACAUGGAGGAAAGUACUGGAGUCAGCUUACCAGUCUCCUAGCAACAGGCGAUGGCAAGAGGAGGAAAGGGAAACUGACCAAGAUGUUUCCUCACACGAGCCCAAGAGAGGCCAUGAUCUAGCUCUGGUGGGAGUGAAGGAGGAAGGAGAGACUUCUUGGUUCCUACUAAGGGAAGGCCAUUCAAUCCACCAGUUUGGGAAGCAAGGGUCAGGUCGGGCAGACCUCACCCUACCGAGUGGUAUCUACUGCACACCACAUGGGCAGCUCUUCAUCGUGGAUUGUGGGAAUGCUCGUAUUCAGGUCACAGACCCUCGGGGGAAUGUCCUCCAGCAAAUCACAUCCCCCAACUCUGAGGGCUUGGCCAGGCGAUGCAGAAACUUCUUUGACAUAGCGGUGAAUGGCAAGGGCCUGAUCGUACUGAGCUGUGCGGCGGAACGAUCUCUACUGGUGUUCAGCCGGCAUGGUCGACUCCUCCAGACCUUCGGGGGGUCAGGUGUGGGCUCUGCAAAAGAGGAACUCGAAGCUCCCAGGGGCGUGACGGUGACACAGUUGGACGAGUUCUUGGUGGCUGAUAUCCGUAAAGGUACCCUCAUCGCUUUAAAGCUGGACCAUAAGACUGGUUCUCGUUUAGAGCGGACCAUCGUGACCGGAUUCCAUCGGCCUUACUGGGUGGCAGCUUGCGUGAGCUCAGGGAUGGUCGCUGUGUCUGAGCGAGGCACGGAAACAGGCUUUGUGCCCUGCAUCAAAGUCCUGGAGCCAGGUUGGAGCACAGUACGAGUUCUGGGUGUGUGCUCGGCCAUGGGACCUGUCCUUCGCUGCCCCUGGGGAGUCUGUAUCGACUCUAUGGGCAACGUCUUGGUGGCAGACUGGGGGGAAACCCACAGGGUCUUGGUGUACCCAGCAUACGGUACGGGGUGGACGUUAGUGACCCAGGGCUUAAGUAGUCCACGUGGGUUGACCCUGCUGCCAGGGGGCCAUCUUGCUGUGUGUGACAGCAUGAACCACUGUGUGAAGGUCUACCAAUACAUAACAAACCAACACUAAAAAAAUAUCUAUAUAUUAUCUUAUUAUAAAUAAGAAUCAAGGCAUCUGCUAUGACUGAUUAAUGCAAUUUAACCAAUGAAAUAUACGUACAUUUGAUACAUUUACAUUUAAUCCCACCAGUUUUGUUUGUUAUUGAUUUAAUUUGACCGAAAUAACAUUUUAUUUUAGACCGGUGUGUUUCUUAGCUUCUGUGCAUAUAAAGCAGUAAGCUUACAUCAGGGUGUACAUAAGGUCCACAUAAAGAAGGAUUAAAAAGGAUGGGGCGAUGCUCAAACCAAUACAAUGUCUUUCAAUAUAUGAAAGUUGGACUUUAUUGAAAGUCCAAUAAACAUUCAUAUAUUAUAAAUGUAUUAGGGAUUGGUCACUCU